Molecule: ribosomal RNA, 373 nt
Filed under: uncultured organism
Description: partial 16S ribosomal RNA
Rfam family: Bacterial small subunit ribosomal RNA
Source: RNAcentral
GUAGGUGGCAAGCGUUGUCCGGAAUUAUUGGGCGUAAAGCGCGCGCAGGCGGUUCUUUAAGUCUGAUGUGAAAGCCCACGGCUCAACCGUGGAGGGUCAUUGGAAAACUGGAGAACUUGAGUACAGAAGAGGAAAGCGGAAUUCCACGUGUAGCGGUGAAAUGCGUAGAGAUGUGGAGGAACACCAGUGGCGAAGGCGGCUUUCUGGUCUGUAACUGACGCUGAGGCGCGAAAGCGUGGGGAGCAAACAGGAUUAGAUACCCUGGUAGUCCACGCCGUAAACGAUGAGUGCUAAGUGUUAGGGGGUUCCCGCCCCUUAGUGCUGCAGCUAACGCAUUAAGCACUCCGCCUGGGGAGUACGGCCGCAAAGGCUG